RNAcentral lists this ribosomal RNA (470 nucleotides) under uncultured bacterium. Its description in RNAcentral is "SSU rRNA". It matches the Rfam family "Bacterial small subunit ribosomal RNA", at positions 26 to 518 of the family's 1533-position model. The record is from RNAcentral.
AGGACGAACGCUGGCGGCGUGCUUAACACAUGCAAGUCGAGCGGAAAGGCCCUUCGGGGUACUCGAGCGGCGAACGGGUGAGUAACACGUGAGCAACCUGCCCCUGGCUCUGGGAUAGCCUCCGGAAACGGGGAUUAAUACCGGACAUUCACUUCCUUCCGCAUGGUUGGUGGUGGAAAGUUUUUCGGCCGGGGAGGGGCUCGCGGUCUAUCAGCUUGUUGGCGGGGUAACGGCCCACCAAGGCGACGACGGAUAGCCGGCCUGAGAGGGCGAUCGGCCACACUGGGACUGAGACACGGCCCAGACUCCUACGGGAGGCAGCAGUGGGGAAUAUUGCACAAUGGGGCGCAAGCCUGAUGCAGCGACGCCGCGUGGGGGAUGAAGGCCUUCGGGUUGUAAACCCCUUUCACCAGGAGCGAAUUCAGACGGUACCUGGGAAGAGCGCCGGCUAACUACGCGCCAGCAGCCGC